This 495-nucleotide ribosomal RNA is filed under the name uncultured bacterium. Its description in RNAcentral is "partial 16S ribosomal RNA". It matches the Rfam family "Bacterial small subunit ribosomal RNA", at positions 28 to 507 of the family's 1533-position model. The record is from RNAcentral.
GACGAACGCUGGCGGCGUGCCUAAUACAUGCAAGUAGAACGCUGAAGGAGGAGCUUGCUCUUCUGGAUGAGUUGCGAACGGGUGAGUAACGCGUAGGUAACCUGCCUGGUAGCGGGGGAUAACUAUUGGAAACGAUAGCUAAUACCGCAUAACAGUAGAUGUUGCAUGACAUUUGCUUAAAAGGUGCAAUUGCACCACUACCAGAUGGACCUGCGUUGUAUUAGCUAGUUGGUGGGGUAACGGCUCACCAAGGCGACGAUACAUAGCCGACCUGAGAGGGGGAUCGGCCACACUGGGACUGAGACACGGCCCAGACUCCUACGGGAGGCAGCAGUAGGGAAUCUUCGGCAAUGGACGGAAGUCUGACCGAGCAACGCCGCGUGAGUGAAGAAGGUUUUCAGAUCGUAAAGCUCUGUUGUAAGAGAAGAACGAGUGUGAGAGUGGAAAGUUCACACUGUGACGGUAGCUUACCAGAAAGGGACGGCUAACUACGUG